Long non-coding RNA from Spinacia oleracea (spinach), 1473 nucleotides. RefSeq lists it as uncharacterized. NCBI's taxonomy places the organism in Eukaryota, Viridiplantae, Streptophyta, Magnoliopsida, Caryophyllales, Amaranthaceae. The record is from RefSeq and is a predicted model, not a curated record. The transcript is spliced from 6 exons.
CAAACACGAUUUCCCCUCCUUCUGCUUGUGUACUACUCUUCUAUGGCGGACAUUAAAGCUCUCUACUCUAAUUAAUCAAUUGUUCAUCUUCUCGCUAAACGAAAUUUCUGAAUUGAUGUCAACCAUUCCCCAACAUGAAGAUGAGGAGUUGCAGCAGCAACAACAUAUAAGGUAUCUGGAAGCAGGUGCAUAAGCCAUCUUUAUACACCCGGCGUAGAGAAGCUGGUUACCCAGACAGUCCAUAGCGUUUCUGCUGAACUUACUUGUCCAAUUGAAAAUGUAGAAUAACAAGCUUUGAAAUGCAACAUGGUUCUGUGCAUUUGAUUGGACAAAGUUGGACUUGUGUGUCUUCAACUUGCACGGCUGCAACAAGAAGUUGCGUAUGACUACUCAUGGAAAAGGAUGUCGGAAGCAGCCGUGGUGCUAAUUUAAGUCGCAACACUUUCUUAAAAUGGAAACUAAAAUAUUUUCUCAUUUUGAAACAAUGAGCAAAUGUUUAAAAUCCGAACUUUAAUAUUUGCUCAUUUAGAAACAAUGAGCAAAAGUUUGAAAUCUGAACUUUAAUAUUUGCUCAUUUAGACACAAUGAGCAAAUAUUUAGAAUCGAAACUAUAAUAUUUGCUCAUUUAGACACAAUGAGCAAAUAUUUAGAAUCGAAACUAUAAUAUUUGCUAAUUUUCUUGCUUUCUGUUUUGGGGUUUUUUUUCCUGAUAAUUUCUUGCAUAGUUGUUCAUUUUUGUGUUUUUUGGGAAAUCAAAGUGAUUGUUGAGGUUAAACUGAUUAAUUUUCUUUUUUCUUGUAAUUUCAUGAAUAGUAGUUAACUUUUGCUUGGAUUUUGGGAACUCUCAUUUUUCCUGGGAAAAUAGAGAAACAGCUGGCAAAGCUAGCAAUAGUGACACUGGCAGCAAGAGUGUUGACUCUAGGAUCAGUUGGUGAUGCUUCAGUUGCCAAAUCUGGUGGCCGUAUUGGUGGUCACUCUUCUGCUCCUCGUCCCUCGUCUCCUAGAAUUAAUUCUAGGUACAACACCUUCAGCAGUUAUCACCUGAGAUUGUGAAGAAAAUGCCAAAGAAGGAUCUGGCUGAGGAGGUUUGGAGACUGCAGGCAGCUAUCGGCGAGCAGACUGAAAUAACCAAAUAUAGCAAACAAGAGUACGAAAGAUUACGACAUGACAAAGUUCUAUGUCAAAUAUUCUUUGAGAGAGAUAUUAGCAUUGUGCUGUUUCCUUGUAGGCAUCAGAUCCUGUGCAGGUUCCUGUUCUUUUCUUACACUCAAGCUAGUUCUAUAUUGCUGCUCAUGUUUCUUUGCCUUUCUAUACUCUUAUUCAUUCCGGUUCUUGACUGGUGCAGUGUCUGCAGCCCAAAGUGCAAUAGAUGUCUAGUUUGUCAGGUCUCUAUUGACGACAGAUUAGCCGUAUAUGAUGUAUAGUUGCAGAAUAUUAUCACCUAUAAUUAAAAUCUUUGACAUGUUUUAGGCA